GUUUGAUACCGAUUAAAGAGUCUGAUACCGAUUAAAGGGUUUGAUACCGAUUAAAGAGUUUGAUACCGAUUAAAGGGUCUGAUACCGAUUAAAGGGUUUGAUACCGAUUAAAGAGUUUGAUACCGAUUAAAGGGUCUGAUACCGAUUAAAGGGUUUGAUACCGAUCAUGAUACCGAUCAAAUGGUAAAAUGUCCUAAUUUAAACAUUGCAUUCUGAUUUUCUUUAUAUUUAUUUACAUUUUACACUUUUUUGACUUGUUUUAUUGUUGUGUUUGUAGUUUUAGUGAGUCCAGGCCUGUUUUUAAGUGUGAAUAGUAGAUUUUUGGGUUGGAUUCAGCUCAGGACAGCACCGUGUUUCCAGUUUAACGGCGUCUGGAGACGGAUUCGUCCCCGGGGAGGAGUGAAGCCCGGUGACAGAUAUGAGCACUAAUGAGGAGAGUGUGCGUCAUCGUUCACACUCUGCAGAACGCCGUUCACCACGGACGCUUCCACCACUGCAUUAUGGCGUCCUCUGCUUUAUCCCUCUCCCUCCUGCUCCCUCUCUUCCCAUCUGCCACCUCAGAGAUCCAGAAAUCCGAGGAGGCUCUCCUCUCCGUCACAUUACGUUACUCAGAGACGGGUCUGACUUCUGGAGAUAACCGGCCAAUCAGGAGCACCGGCUCGGCUCACGGUCUCGCGCUGUACCGACACUAUAGCACGACUUUAACCACGGUUCAUUUUUAUUAUUAUAAUAGUUUAUCUCUUUAUAUAGCUCUAUCCAGGCGGUGAGCUAACGGAGAGCUAGCGGUGGUGCCAACUGAACUAAACUGUAUAGUGGGCGGGGUUAAUGAUGUUGAGACCUGGUGAUUGGCUAGACGGGCCUUGCUAAUGCUGUGGUAGUAGCUAGUGUGAGGCUGAGAUGAGGCUGGUAGCCAGCGUGCUAACAAUAGCUAAAUGAAAAUUAAACAUUGUUCUACUAUCAGAAGAGAGAGAUAUAAACCAAACACACAGAGCUUAUCUUUCUUAACAAAGAAAAAGUUUUAAGUAGUCAGUAAACAGAGAUGUAUAUGAAUGGAAACCAGACAAAACUGCAGAUAAAAGUCCUAUCUGGACGGGAUUAGUUUCUCAGGGGGUUCUGGGUAAUUUUCUUUUUUAUGUUUUUUUUUUUAUCCUCUGUGGUUUUAUUACCGUCCAGAACGAUCAUGUACGUGUUUUUCUCAGACGUCCUCUGAGAAGAAAAUUACAGGCUGUUUUAUCGAUACCACUUUAAAAUAAGACUUCCUGUAUAAAGCAUUUAUAAAUGGUUUAUAUAUUAUAUUAUUA
RNAcentral lists this long non-coding RNA (1301 nucleotides) under Astyanax mexicanus (Mexican tetra). RNAcentral's name for it is "lncRNA (ENSAMXG00005002423.1)". Lineage: Eukaryota; Metazoa; Chordata; Actinopteri; Characiformes; Acestrorhamphidae. The record is from RNAcentral.